UGAGGAGUUUGGGCUCGCGCCGCGGCUUUGGCCGCCGCUGCUGGCAACCCCCGGCUCUGGGGUUGGCAAGCCCUGUUCAGCCGCCCGCUAGUCUGAUAGCGCAGAGGUUUCUCAUCCUAGGCAGAACAAUUUUCCACAUUUGGGAUGUUUGUAUUGUCCUCAUCUAGAAAGAAAAAUAGAAUCCAGAGCUCAGGAUUUAGUGGAUCCUUCACUAUUUUCUCAGGUGGCCCUGGUCCUGUUUCUUUUAUCUAACUGCAGUCCUUGGCCUUGACAUGUGGAUCUGUCUCCUCUCUACUUUAACUUCCUGGACCAGAAUGGAAAAGAUUUUUUCACUCCAUGAUCUACUUCUCAAAUCCAGCACAUUCAGGUUGUUCGGUGGCUUCCCACAGUGUGCCAUCUGGCUGACAUCAUGCCAAUUCUGCCAAGAAAAAAGAAGCAAUUGAUGUUGGUAUUUAGCUUCUAUUUGCUUAGAUGAGAAAAGGGAUUUUUUUUUUCAGAAAGAUAAAUAACAUUUAUGUUAAUGCCAGGUGCUUAGAUGGUGGCAUUUGUGAAUUCUUUGCCCUUUAUGCCCUAAAAGAUUAUACACAGCAAGAAGUCAAAAUGUCUGCAGGGGCCACUUGUAUCCUUCUCUUUGGACUAGUAUAAAAUUACAUUUUAUUGUAUUGUACAUGAAUUGUAUUCACAAUUACAGCAGGAAAUCUUCCAUUUCAAUAUGGAAAGUACAUUUCAGAAACUAAAAAUAUAUUUGAAUCCUAAUUCCACAAUACAGAUUUCUCUGUUCAGAGCAAGGGCCAAUUCUGCAGUUACCCAUGUGAUAUGAUAAGUAAAACAGCUCCUAUACGAUAUAAUAUUCCUGAAUUGAUUGUGUGUGUGAAGAAAACAAGAACAAAUACUUUUAUGCAUGGGUACAUCCACAUUUAUCAGAAAGAAGAAAGAUUUCUUCCAAGAAACAAAGUCUGGCUGCAUUUCCUUUCCCCUGGGUAUCUUUUGGUUGCUUCAUACCAUUUUAAGAUGUUUUUCUAUUUUCACAAGAAAGGAGUACAUCCCAUGAAUGCAUUCCUGGGUCUACAGGAGAACAUUUUCACUGAGUUUUGACUAAACAAGUUUUGAUCUUGCUAAGAGUGUCUUAUGUGAUAUAUAUAGCUUACUGUGUCAUCUUUCUGCCUUGUGGAGUGUUAUAGGACAUUGUGGAACUGGCUUUUCAUACUGUUGUGACCAAGAGUGAACUGCAACAAGGGGCCCGACACUGUAUACUUAGAAUAUCAGAUCAAACCUGCAGUUGGCUAUGAAUAUAGCAGAAUGGAAAAAGAGUGGGAGUAGGGAAGGUAUUUUCCUGUAUAACUCCUUCCUGAGAGAUGAAAAGCAAAAAUGUUUUGUGGGCCUCCAUCUGACUAAUGUAUCUGCAUGAUGUAGUGUCAUGGAACAUUUUCAGCUUAAGGUGGCUGUGUGGGUGAUUUCUGUAAGUGAAACUGUAGCAUCUCACCAGAGGGUGAGCCUCAAAAUAAUGCCCAUCAACCUGUGCUUGAAGCAGAAUGAAUUGAAAUCCAAAAGAAAUUUAGGAGCUAACCUCUGGCCUUCCAACUCUCCCCCCCCCCAAAAAAAAAAAGAAGAAGAAGAAGAAGAAAGAUCCACAAAGUGGUUUCCUAUCUGCAUUAGGCAAGGAAUAUAGACUAGUUUGUUUUCCUCUGGAGUCGGGGUGGGUGGUUAAGGAACAGAAAGGGACAAUGAAAACCUCUCUCUUGGCAGUUGAAA
This is a long non-coding RNA of Gracilinanus agilis (Agile Gracile Mouse Opossum), 1752 nucleotides long. RefSeq lists it as uncharacterized. The record is from RefSeq and is a predicted model, not a curated record. Lineage: Eukaryota; Metazoa; Chordata; Mammalia; Didelphimorphia; Didelphidae. The transcript is spliced from 3 exons.